GAAACACGGACCAAGGAGUUCAACUGGAUUGCGAGUCGUCGAGUUUAUCACUAAACUCUUCUUCUUUUUCCGGCGAAGCGAAAGCAAAAUUGUGCCAUGUUCUUUAUUGUAACUGCAGCACAGGCUGAUUAAGUAUAUUCAUAGUAUGUUUUCAUAGUGUGUCUACUUGUCUUUUUUUCAAUUUAUUGAAAUUUUUACAAGAUUAAUCAAGCUAAAGAGCACUUUAGUUGAGACCCGAAAGAUGGUGAACUAUGCUCGGACAUGGUGAAGCCAGGUGAAAACUUGGUGGAAGCUUGCGUUGUGCGGAACUGACGUGCAAAUCGUUGCCGCCUGACCUGAGUAUAGGGGCGAAAGACUCAUCGAACCAUCUAGUAGCUGGUUCCCUCCGAAGUUUCCCUCAGGAUAGCUCGAAUUUAUAUAUUUUUUUAAUGAGUAACACAAGGGUAAAGCAAUGAGACGCGGUAUCUGUGGGUCUUUUUGAAUGACCUCGGCCUUCUCUCAAACUUUAAAUCUGUGCGAUUACGUGUGCUUACUUUGAAUGUUUUUUUAAUUCAGUGAAGUCACGUUUUUUUAUAUUGUAUCUAAAAUUCGUAGUGGGCCAUUUCUGGUAAGCAGAACUGGCGAUGAGGGAUUCAACCUGACGUUCUCAAGAUAAGCCGGGCUUAAUCAUAUCUGCUCCAACCUUCCGAUAAACGCGA
Molecule: ribosomal RNA, 698 nt
Filed under: Reophax pilulifera
Lineage: Eukaryota; Foraminifera; Lituolida; Reophacidae
Description: partial 28S ribosomal RNA
Rfam family: Eukaryotic large subunit ribosomal RNA
Source: RNAcentral